UCCCUGGAGAAUUAGUGGUUAGGCCUUGGCGCGCUCACCGCCGUGGCCUGGGUUCGAAUCCUGGCCAGGCAA
Pangasianodon gigas (Mekong giant catfish) is the source of this 72-nucleotide non-coding RNA. The record is from the annotation of a GenBank genome assembly. NCBI's taxonomy places the organism in Eukaryota, Metazoa, Chordata, Actinopteri, Siluriformes, Pangasiidae.